UGAGAGGUGCCUCCGCCCCCUUCCGCCUCUCCCCUCGGAACUACAGCUCCCGGGGCGCCCCGCGCCGUUCCCAUGGCGACAGGCAGCCGGGCCCGGGCGGACAGCGGCGAUGCCCAAGGCCGGCGGUACUCUGUGGGAUAUUGCUAGAGACGAAGUGGAGAAGAGAGAAAACUCCGGCGACGAUGGCGAGCGCGUGGAAGUUUGGGAAAAAUCAGUGUUGUUUAUGGGAAGCAAAAACGGGGGGAAGACCACUAUCAUACUGAGGUGUCUUGAGAGGGAAGAGAUUCCAAAGCCAACGUUAGUUUUGGAAUAUACCUUCGGGAGAAGGGCAAGGAGACACAAUGCACCCAAAGAUAUAGCUCAUUUUUGGGAAAUAGGUGGUGGAACCUCGUUACUGGAACUGAUUCGAAUACCAAUCACCGUCAACAACGUAAGGUCAUUUGCAGUAGUUCUUGUAUUGGAUCUAUCCAAACCUAAUGAACUCUGGAUGACUAUGGAGAAUCUUCUGCAGGCCACCAGAAACCACGUGAAUAAAAUUUUAGCCAAACUGGAAAAGGCAGAUCCUGAAGCAGCUGCUGAAAUUAAGCAGAAGAUGCAGAACAAUCUACAGGGGGAUCAUCCAGAUUAUGACUUGGUUGACCCUUUUCCAAUACCCUUGGUGAUUAUUGGAAGCAAAUACGAUAUAUUUCAUGAGUUUGACUCUGAAAUGAGGAAAAUAAUAAGCAGGACACUUCGAUUUGUUUCACAUUAUUAUGGAGCAUCACUGGCGUUUACCAGUAAAUCUGAGGCUCUCCUGCUGAAAGCUCGUGCUCUUAUUAAUCACUUGGCAUUUGGCUACGAUAGAAGCAAGUCCAUAUCAGUGGAUCACAGCAAACCACUAUUUAUCCCAGCAGGCCUGGAUUCACUGAGCCAAAUAGGGCCACCACCCACCUCUGACAGCAACAUUGGAAAGAUGCGUGCAAACACACCUUUAGAACUGUGGAAGAAGGUGUUUGAGAAGACGUUUCCUCCCAAGAGUUUCAGUGAUUUACAAGACAGCAAGGACCCUGCACAGGACUCACAAUAUGCUGAGUAUGAAGUUGAUGUCAUGAGAGCUCAGAAAAACCAGGUUCUGGAUCAAAAACAACCAUGUCGCUCACUUGGUUGGUUUUAAAACAUCUGUCCUGUGUUGCAAUAACGGGCUAAUGAACCAUGUCAUCCACAACUGGUGUCAUCUUUGGUGUCAGAUCUGACACUGUUAUUCACACCCCAUCGGUAUCUGAUUGUGGUUGGGAUCAGUUAAUCACAUAUUGGCCAACAUGAGAACCAGCCAUAUUUUUCUCAGCAUUUUGUCCUGCUAUGAGCAUAUUGCAGAACUUCAAGAGAGCACUUCAGAUUAAACAAAAUAGAAGCUUUCAUGCUGUGCAGUGAACCUCCUGUCCAGUGUUAGUGGGCAAAGGGUUGUGACACUCACCGUUACAGCAGGAGCAUCUUUCCUUUUAUCCAGAGAAGUGCCAGUCUUCAUGAGAGGAAGGUUAUGUAGGGUGCUGAUACAGCUGCCAUGAGUAAGCUUUUUUGUGUUUGCUUGAAAACAUACCCAAGUGGGUACAACACAGGCAUUUUAGUGUUGGUUUAAGAGCCUUAUUAGAGCACAGUUAUUAAACUUCUGCUGAAUCUUAAUUGCUUAUUUUAAUCCUAGUACUUGUUUCUUUUUACUGUCUUACAGACUGAGAGCAAGUUCAGUCAGAAACCAUAUUUUAAAAAGACAGUUAAAGUUGCAGUGCCAGUCUCUUAGGACUGAGGGAAUGAAACAAUUAAAGCUUUUCCUGCAAUCGUAAUUUUACUCCUUGUUUGUAGACAUUACAGUAUUGUCUUUAAUUACAUGAUCAUGUACUAUUUUGCUGAUGUCUCAGUUCAGUUGUUCAGUAUUUCUUUUCAUUCUACUCAUUCUUUGUGUACCUUAUUUCUCAACCUGCCAUUCAGACACUUCAGUGAACACAAAAGUAUUAAUUUUUUUCUCUAAGAAUGUGUGGUAAUGUUAUCUUAUCUGAGUGCCUCACAAACAUCAGUUAAGUCUUUCUUCUCAAUCCCUUUAUGAGAUAGCUGGGAUCUUCCCCAUUUGACAGUUGAAGAAUUUAUAGCAACACAAGUACAGAAGCAGUAAGGUUAAAAAUAUAUAUAUAUAAAAGAAAGGAAAAAAAAAUCACUCUUAGCCAGAGUUGAGGCAUUUAGGACAAGUUGCUGGCACACCAAUAACAUUUAAAACAUUCUAAGCACACUGAAAGCAAUUAUUAAUUCUGCACAUCUGAUCUGUAUGAUGUAUUUACCCCUUUCUGUAGCAUUUGAGAAAGCUGUUGGAACUGAAGUUAUUUUCUUAGCAUCAAAUAGGAUACAUGUACUUCUCAAAAUAUCCCUGUAUUCUCUCUACUUCUACUACCAAACUGCUGGAGGUUUGCUGCCAGUUCCAAAUGUUCUGAGAUCGCAGUUACUUUAUAUUAAUAGUGAGGGAAAGAAAUACUGAGUAUAGACUGGCUUAAAGAUGGAACAAUAUGCAGUCUCACUGGACUUGUAUUUAAUAAUGCAACUUAAUACAUUUAGAUACAGUUUGUUCUGCAUCAGUCAUCAGUGAGUAAACUGUAAAACUCAACUCUUGUAAGCAUCAGAAGGAUAUGCACUAAUUAAAAAAUCCUGUUACUGCUCAGAAACCUGUGGUGCUUUCUGAUAGUUUUGCACUGCUGGUGAAGCUGCUGAAAUUGCUGUCUGAAAGAGAAAAUUCAUUAGAGUUUCCUCACAGUUAUUAGGCAGUGAUUUUUCUGUCGCUCAUGUUAAACACUUGAGCAAUUUUGAGGAUCUCCACUGCAUUUAUACUUACCACUGCUUUAUGUUCAGUCAUUUUCCAUCCUUCCCCCUCCCAUUUUUCUUCUCAUCAUCCCAAGCUACUUCAACCAUAAGUGCACAGACGUUAUUGUUUGUGACUCCUGGAGGCUAACUUUUCUUAUUUGCUUUGGCAGAUAAUUUUAAUCUGUAUUUUGUCUCUCUUUUUGGCUUGAGAGUAAAUUUCCAAAAGGAUGAAUGUUCUUUUCUGCUUAAAGCAUUUUGAGAAGAGGCGCUCAUGGUUUUUAAGUAAACUUAGGAGCAAGAAUAGAAAUACAUUGAAAUCUUAAUGAAAGAGUUGUACUACUCCUAAAUUAGCAUGGCUCUUUUGAAGCUCAUACAAAAAGCUGCUUCAAGCUUCUCUUGAAGUGGUUGCUGUUAGCAUGAAUUCCUCAAUAAACAAUGGAAACAACUAAUAAAAACCAGAAUUUUUGCCUGCUUAGUCCUAUUCACAGCAGUAUGUUUGCACAGCCUGAUUCAGUAUCUUGACAGAUCAUAGAGCUGUCUAAAUGCAGACAUUUGCUUUUAGAAGCUUUUCAGGUAACCCAUUUUAAAUCUGACCUUCAGCUGUGUUUCAGAACGUGAACCUAGCUUUGUUUUUUAGUUACACAUAAAACACAAGAUAUCACUACCUUGGAAGACCUUGCUGGCACGUUUUUUACAAUACAGAACUUAAUACUGCAGGAACUUGAACAGUACAAAAGAAAUGCCUCCAAAUCCUGGAAAGAAAUGGAUUUUGGUCCUGAUUGAUGAACUGCUGAUGGUGUCCUAAGUUUCACAUUUGCAAGAUUUGAAUAUGAAGGUGGCAUCAGUCAUUCCUACCUGUUUUACAAUUCGUAACAAAUUACUCAAUGUAUUUUUGACCAAUGCCUCCCUAAUCAUCUGUGCAAAUGCAUACAAGUUUUCACACCCAAAAUAUGAACUGCAUGGUUAAGUACACCAGGCAUCUUCAAAAUCAAAGCUUAAGAAUGCAUUUCCAUCAUAAUUUGACCUAUUUGAGUAGUUCCAGAAAAAUGUGUAGAACAAAAUAGAAUUAAAAACAAUUUUGGCCUGAUCUGAAAUUCGUAAGUCUUCUUUAUCUCAGCUUCAGUAUCAUAAAGUUUGAUUCUUCUGUCAGAAUAAGCAAGACAAAUCUGCAUUAAAUCAGAGAUGGCUCUGAGAGCUAAGACUUGUAGUCGGAGAGUAAGGGCCUAAACAGAGACUUGGCAGACCAGAAUGCAAGAAUAUUCCCUGAUAAGCAACUUCUAUCCGUGGGCAUAAAAAUGGCAAAGACACAUUAACCUGGUAUCGAUCCAUCCUUUUAGAUAUAUUUUUUCAUGUAUUUGUUUAUUGAAUUGUUUGUUCAUGUAACUUUUGUAUCUGAGAAUAUUAUACAUAAAGAUAAUUAGAAGAAAAUCUUGGCCUCACAGUUAAGUGAAAAGCUUGCAUUAACUUGGGGAUUUCAUACUUGUUAAAAUGUGUGUUAUCUUACAGCUGUAAAAUUUAAUUAUUUUACUAUGGAAUUUUAAGGUACAAGUAUACUUAACUCUGCAAUAAAUAAUUUUUUCACUGAAUAUGAAACAAAGCUUAUGAAUUUUGCAUCUAGUAGGCUUUCAGUUUUGAGAAUUACUUAUUUCUAUUUCCUAAUUGGAUGAAUGAACCCCUUUGAUGUGUUAGUGAGCCCAUGAGAAUGAUUUCCAGAGAAAGAUGCAAAUAACAUCUCUUUCAAGAAAAGGGAGACAGCUCGUAUAUACGUUUUUCCCUAGUUGAACUGAUACUUUAUUAAUAAACAAUUUUUUUCCCUAGUAAUUCACAAACUGCUUCCAAAACAAGAUUUAGAACUGAAUACUGAGAAGAAAGAGCAAAUACAAAUAACAAAACUGCCUACUAUGAUCUGGCAUUGCUUACAAAACAAAAGCAUUUUUAUAACUUCUGUGUUGCUGAAAGUUGCUUCUUGUACUCAUGGAUGCUGUGGUUGGAUGGGAUGCAUAAGAUUAAAGUGAUUUCUUGAUUCUG
RNA transcript from Lagopus muta (rock ptarmigan), 4848 nucleotides. It is a transcript of the gene named dynein cytoplasmic 2 light intermediate chain 1, with no coding region annotated. Lineage: Eukaryota; Metazoa; Chordata; Aves; Galliformes; Phasianidae. The transcript has 14 exons. The record is from RefSeq and is a predicted model, not a curated record.